AGUUGAUCUGGCUCAGGAUGAACGCUAGCUACAGGCUUAACACAUGCAAGUCGAGGGGCAGCAUGAGAUUAGCUUGCUAAUCUUGAUGGCGACCGGCGCACGGGUGAGUAACGCGUAUCCAACCUUCCCCUUAGUAGGGCAUAGCCCGGCGAAAGUCGGAUUAAUACCCUAUGUUCUUCGUAGAGGACAUCUGAAAUGAAGCAAAGAUUUAUCGCUAAGGGAUGGGGAUGCGUCUGAUUAGGUAGUCGGCGGGGUAACGGCCCACCGAGCCUGCGAUCAGUAGGGGUUCUGAGAGGAAGGUCCCCCACAUUGGAACUGAGACACGGUCCAAACUCCUACGGGAGGCAGCAGUGAGGAAUAUUGGUCAAUGGGCGCGAGCCUGAACCAGCCAAGUAGCGUGCAGGAUGACGGCCCUAUGGGUUGUAAACUGCUUUUAUGCGGGGAUAAAGUGCACCACGUGUGGUGUUUUGUAGGUACCGCAUGAAUAAGGACCGGCUAAUUCCGUGCCAGCCGCUGC
This 517-nucleotide ribosomal RNA is filed under the name uncultured bacterium. Its description in RNAcentral is "bacterial SSU rRNA". It matches the Rfam family "Bacterial small subunit ribosomal RNA", at positions 10 to 518 of the family's 1533-position model. The record is from RNAcentral.